UACAGAGGUCUCAAGCGUUGUUCGGAUUCAUUGGGCGUAAAGGGUGCGUAGGCGGCGGUGUAAGUCGGAUGUGAAAUCCCUCGGCUCAACUGAGGAAUUGCCUCCGAUACUGGUCGGCUUGAGUCCUGGAGAGGGUAGUGGAAUUCCGAGUGUAGCGGUGAAAUUCGUAGAUAUCGAGAGGAACACCGGUGGCGAAGGCGGCCAACUGGACAGAUACUGACGCUGAGACACGAAAGCGUGGGGAGCAAACAGG
Molecule: ribosomal RNA, 253 nt
Filed under: uncultured bacterium
Lineage: Bacteria
Description: partial 16S ribosomal RNA
Rfam family: Bacterial small subunit ribosomal RNA
Source: RNAcentral